Molecule: ribosomal RNA, 486 nt
Filed under: uncultured bacterium
Lineage: Bacteria
Description: partial 16S ribosomal RNA
Rfam family: Bacterial small subunit ribosomal RNA
Source: RNAcentral
AUUGAACGCUGGCGGCAUGCCUUACACAUGCAAGUCGAACGGCAGCACGGGUGCUUGCACCUGGUGGCGAGUGGCGAACGGGUGAGUAAUACAUCGGAACAUGUCCUGUAGUGGGGGAUAGCCCGGCGAAAGCCGGAUUAAUACCGCAUACGAUCUACGGAUGAAAGCGGGGGACCUUCGGGCCUCGCGCUAUAGGGUUGGCCGAUGUCUGAUUAGCUAGUUGGUGGGGUAAAGGCCUACCAAGGCGACGAUCAGUAGCUGGUCUGAGAGGACGACCAGCGACACUGGGAGUGAGACACGGCCCAGAGUCCUACGGGAGGCAGCAGUGGGGAAUGUUGGACAAUGGGCGGAAGCCUGAUCCAGCAGUGCCGCGUGUGAGAAGAAGGCCUUCGGGUUGUAAAGCACUUUUGUCGGGAAAGAAAUGCUUGGCCCUAAUACGGUCGGGGGAUGACGGUACCGGAAGAAUAAGCACCGGCUAACUACGUG